GAUGCAAAAAAAAAAAAAAAAACAAUAGUAGGAUAAAAGGGAGGCAGAGAAGCAAGGAGAUAUACAUAGCUAAAGGAGAAUCAAGAACAGCAGAAAGAGAAAAGAGGGAGAUAGAGGUAAAGUAGAAAGAAGGCAGUAACACUGAAGGGAAAGCAUGAGCAGUAGUAGAAUAAGAGGGAGGUAGAGAAACGAUGCAGUAAGACAUAGAGGAAAUCAAGAACACUAGGAAAAGAGAAGAGAGAGGCAAAGUAGCAAUGAGGUAAUGAAACUGAAGGGGAAGCAAGAACAAUAGAAGAAUAAGAGAGAGGAAGAGAAACAAAGAGGUAAGACUGAAGAGGGAACAGUAACAGUAGGAGAAGAGGGAGAUACAAAUAAACUAUGCAUGACUGUAUUCUUAAAUGUUUUGCUCUUUCAUCAGGACUACUUUUGAAGGCUACAUAGAUAACAUACGAACAUUAAUAGAAUAUACGGAAAACUACACGAAGCCGUUAGAGUUCCAGGUGGCAGUCGCUGUGUGAAAGCUAUACUAGUACUUUGAUUAAUGAGGUACUGAAAGAUGGUGCAGAUUCCCUAAGAAAGCAUCAAUACAAUCGUGAAAAAUACUCUCGAAAAUCACACUACUUUCCACUACAGCCUGCCAAAAGUAGUCGUGAUAGAAAGAGAGUAAAAGAUGGGAAGGAAAAAAAAAAAUAGAGGAUAGAAUAGGAAGAGAAAUGACGCUACGAGAAUAAAUAUCUACUUUGUCGUAAUAAAGGAAGGCCGGUGAAAGUAUAGCGAUAAAGGUGAUGAUAACAAAAACAAAAGGGGUCAAGAGGUACGACAAACAGAUAGCGAGGAAAGUUUAUCUUGUGGUGAGUUAUUAUUAUCCUCAUUAUUAACGCUAGGCUGAGAGAGAGAGAGAGAGAGAGAGAGAGAGAGAGAGAGAGAGAGAGAGAGAGAGAGAGAGAGAGAGAGAGAGAGAGAGAGAGAGAGUUGUGGACCUAUCUACUAUAUAAUAAGAAGCAAUGAAAGAGAUGAUAGUACAAUAAACAGGAAAUAGAGAAUGAAGCAAGUGAUGAACGAUAAAGAAGAAUAAAAUGAUGAUGAUAAUAUUGAUAAAAUAAAAACAAUAACGAUAAAACAGGAAACAAAGAAAGAGAAGCGAUAAAGCAGAGUGAAUGAUAGAUAGUAAAGUGUAAGGACAAUAAUGCAGAGAGAGA
This is a long non-coding RNA of Portunus trituberculatus (swimming crab), 1199 nucleotides long. RefSeq lists it as uncharacterized. The transcript is spliced from 2 exons. The record is from RefSeq and is a predicted model, not a curated record. Lineage: Eukaryota; Metazoa; Arthropoda; Malacostraca; Decapoda; Portunidae.